Molecule: long non-coding RNA, 8343 nt
Filed under: Phaseolus vulgaris (common bean)
Lineage: Eukaryota; Viridiplantae; Streptophyta; Magnoliopsida; Fabales; Fabaceae
Description: long non-coding RNA (PVUL_LNC004682)
Source: RNAcentral
AACAAAAUGCAUAGUGCAUGGCCUUAGAGAUGUAAAGCUACAGUUGCCAUCAGACAAAGGUUAAGCUUUUCCAUAAUUCCUCGCGGUUUUAAGUAUGAACUUGUACCCUCCCCGGGAUCCCAUCCAUUGCUUGUACUCUCAUUGUGUUUCACACUUGAGACUAGAGAACUGUGUACCUUUCCCAGGAUUGGAUACUGACCCUAUCCAUCAAUUGUAGCCUUGUCAUGCUUGGCAGCACUUGAGGCUACGCACUCUACUUGGGAUAUGUUACUGAUCCGAUCCAGAGUCAAUAACUUAGAAUCCUUUGCAACUAGCAACUAUUACAAAGGUCGGAUAUCACGACACCUCUAUCCGAUAGUUAAGGAUCAAACUGUCAAUCAAGAUCUCAGGAAGCAUGACGCUGGCCCAAUAUCUAAUAUACACAGAACGAAUAUGAGGGAUCUUGGCACAAUAGAGUAUAUGGUGUAAUGUCUGUAGCCUGAAUAUGUCAGUCUGGACUGGCUGGUUUGGUAGGAUAAAUAAGGGGGAUCACGGGCCAAAGGUAGGUUUUUAUCAUCUUACUUUUUAAGAGAGAACACAAUUUGAACGCCCUAGCUUCUGUCACCUUGAUCUACAAGGAGAUUUGUCCUAGAACAAGAUCUAUUUAAAGUGAUGGUGCAAAAAUAUCUUUCUACCAGCAAUCAAAUAACUCAAUGGAUUAUUUUAUUAGAUUGCUUUGGCAUUUUCAUUUGGAGACUAACAAAAGCAAGACCCGGAAAAGCUUUAGCAAUAGUUAACAUCAGAAGAAUGCAAAUGACCGAACAAGGUUAAAGUGGUAUUCAAUCCAAAGUAAGGGCAAACCAGUUGCAAAUAAUUCCAACCAGCUGCAACUUCCCUUUAUUGUUCUUUUAUUUGAGCAAAAUUUCGAAGAGGCUUUGUUCAUUGAUAGGAACUUGGAUAUUAUGGGGUGUUUAGGUCACACAUUGAGCAGAAUGGGAUGCUCAUUGUAGUAUGCGGUUCUCCCCCUUAAUAGCUAAUCUUUUAGGGUGAAGUAAAUGCUUUGGGUGCUCUCCAACUAAAUUUGAUAGAUAUCAAAAAAAUAAUGAGUACAAUACUGGAAAUUCACUGUAUCAACUUAAUUCAGUUCUGUUGCAAAAGUGAUACAUGAUCUGAUCAAAGGAAAACUGCAGAUGAAAUAUAAUACUUGACAGUUAAAGAGGUGUGCCUAUUCUCUCCUGAAAAUCCUUGCUCAUCUUUUUUCUGGCAUUUUCUAUUCUGCUAAUUUAUGAGUUAAAAUUUAAUAUUUAUAUUAAUUUUAAUUUUAUAGAUUUUAAAAGAAAACAGUUUACAUUUGAAAAUUUGAAAUUCAAAGAACACAUCACAUACCAUUAUCACAAUAGGUUCCACCAAACACAACUGCAUUCUCAUUUUGCUAAAUCUAACUGCUAUAGUGUAGAAGACAGUAAAUACAUUUGUUAUACGGGAGGCACCAACCAAACACAGACACUGAUUUAAAUGACCGAGUUCUAAGGCCCUUCUUUCCAAAUUGGAUAUCUGAUUAAAACAUACCAACAAACUACUUAUAAACGUAGACUCGGGCGGAGCGAGUGGGAUGGCCGAAGGGAGCCACAACCACCCCAACAUUUAGAAAUUCAAUUACUAUACAUGUAUAAAAAUUAAUAUGGGUCCUUCUUAUUGACAUUGAAAGAUAAGUGGCUUAUUGAUGGUCUUGUAUUUUAUACAUUUCAUCUCUUUUUCGAAAAUAAGGGAUGCCAUGUUUGUAUUUUGUUUUGAGAGGGUUGUUGCUAAUACUUCUACUUUCUUGUAUUUUCUUUCCAUUAGCCAUUGGGUGUUGCACCUAUGUACUACUCACACUGAUUAGUUACUAUCUCAUAUACUCAAUAUAAUUAUAUAUUUAGUGUGUACAUUAGAAAAUUUAUUAAAUUUUAUUCAUAUAUAAUGAAUAUCAAAAUUUAAUUGUUCUUUUUAAGUUAUGAUAUUUUAAGUUGGUCACCCUAAUCUAAUUCCUGACUUCCCCCAUGUAGGCUGGUUAUUAUUAUCUGAGCGAAAAUAAGGCCCAACCAGCUGCAACUCGCCUUUAUUUAUUGUUCAGGUAUUUGAGCAAAAUCCCAAUUCAGCUUUGUUCACAAUUCCCUACAGCACAGAGGUGCAGAAGAGUGCAAAUAUCUUUUUUAUAUGGGAAGCAACAAACAUAGUCCCAGAUUUAAAUGAAUGAAUUUUAAGACCAUUAUUUCCUAUUUUAUGUUGGUUAUCUGAUUAAACAUACCAAUAAGCCUAAUUACAAAGGUAAGGGGGUAUUAAAUAUUAAAAGUGAGAGUUAGGCUUUGGUAAAAAAACCUGUUGAAGCAGAACUGUGUUGUCUCCUUCAAAUGUCUGAAAAAUGUCAUGAUCGUUCCUCAAAAUACCAAACCGGUUUACAGCAGCAUAACCAUGACCUCCACAGGCUUCCCUACAGAUGCUGAGUGACUUUGCAGUAUAGGAUGUUAUAUAAGCCUUUAGACCGGCUGAUAGAGCAUGGACAUCUGCAACUAAUUCUUCAUCAUUAGUUUUUUUCAUUUGAGAGUAUUUCUCCACCAAAGUUGUUGUUGCAAAAUAAAAAGCAUACGUUGAAGCAAGCAUUGGCAUAAGCUUGUGCUGUUGAGACUGGUAAUCAAGAAUACUAACUUCAGGUUGGUUUGGAGGUCCAAAUUGCUGACGAAGUAGAGAAUAUCUGAUGGCAAUUGUGGCCGCAACCUUCAGGACACUUACUGAAGAAUAUGCAAGACCUACCCUACCACCAACAAGUUCACCUAGAGUUGCACCAAAUCGCUUAUUAACUGUAGGAAGACUACUUGUGUAUUUUCCAUCACGGGAGACAUCUCCAAAACGGUUUAGAAGAUUGUCUCGAGGAAUUCUUACCGAGCGGAAUCUCAAUGCUCCAUUAUCCACACCAUUGAGGCCAACUUUAUGGCCACAAUCAUGUAUCUCAAUCCCAGGGAGUGGUUGAUGGGUCUUCAUAUCCCUUAUUGGAACUAUGAAAGCAUGGACACCCAUGUCAGUAACUCCUUUGGUGUCAUAAGUGGGUAAUUUCAACCUAGCGAAAACAGUGGCAAACUUUCCAUGCACUGCAGCAUUACCAAUCCACCAUUUGAUGGCACCAUCAUUUGGUGUGUCAAUGAUAAAUUCAUCAGUGAUUACAUCAAAGGUGGCAACAGUUUGGAGGCCCUGCACAUUUGAACCUUUUAAAAGCACAAAAAGGUAAGCAAUUUAGAAAUGUGUACCUGUGGUGGUAGCAUGUUUGAGUAAAAUUCCAAGGAAAAAAAAAGACUCACAAUCCAAAGUAGUUUAAGUUGGGAAUGGAAAACAAUCUAACUAAGGAAGCAAGGGUUGUUGGUUAAAGACUUGAACUCACUUUACUGGCAAUUGAACAUACAUGAAAACUGCCAUUUGUUAGAUUAUAUCAAAUAGGGUUCAGUGACAUCUUACAUUUAGCAGUUUAUAUUUUUAUUUCUUAGUAUUCACAAAUAAUUACAAAAUUAAAUAUUGUUUUCACUUUUAUUACUUAGUUUUAAAGAUAUGUAAAAGAGUAAACAGAGUCCCUGUUAUAAAUGCUUCUGUACAAAUCCCUGUGUUUUAUCUGUCCAUAGAAAUUGUUGUAAACAUUUUAAAAUUAUUUGUAAACACAAAAACCUUCUCUCAUAUCAAUCAAGCCUCUCUACCCUAAAUUGAUGGCUACAUUUCUUUACUACGAGUUACAAGUUCAACAGUGUCCUCAUAAGUUCACUCCAUCAUCACGAGUCAGUGACACUAACCAAACCAAUGGAAUGAAAAAACAAAGCACACAAUUACAGUAGUCAACAACUUCACCGACAUAAAGAAAAAGAUGGCAUUACCAUGGUGAAGCUCGGUCAUAGCAAAACAACCGGGGUAGUCCAAGUUAUCAAUCCCAUCAAAGUACUUGUCCUUAUGCUUCUUUGUCCCCAAAUUGAGAACAGAACCACCCCAAAGACUGCGCAAGAAGAGUAGUCAACAAAAACAUGCACACUAACAUGAAUGAAAAAUAGACUCAUUCCAUUUGACAUUAGCGAAAGCAGUGAGUUACCUGUACUGGACCCCCAUCUUGAUCCCGAGCGACAUGUCAACACUUCCAACUGCUUCCAAGAUGGCGAAGUACUUGGCGGGCUCGUUGACCACGUAACGGAGGGGUCGAAUCCCCGCUUCUCUGACGAGUCCCGUUAACUGCUUCAUGCACAACUCUCGAUGUUCGUCUUUCGAGAUCUCAACGGGCGUUUGAAGGUGCGGAUUGGCGUUGAAGUAAUCGAGCACCUUCUCCUGAAUGUCCCAGUGCUUACCUCGUAUGUAACUCGACAGAGAUGGCGUGUCCACGCUCAGCUUCCCUCGCCCGCCGCACGCUGCCAUCUCCAACUGCUCCGCCGCCACGCAGGCGACGGGGUUCAGGUGCAGGGUCAGCCUUCGAAUUCUCCGCUCUGCUUCGGAGGCUGGCUCGGAGUCGGAGUUGGGUUUGGAGUUUGAAAUUUGCAUUUUGGUUUGGAGGAAUUGGAGAGAAGAAGGAAAAAGUUGUUGGUAUUGUUGUUGUUAAAGGACGAGGAAUGUGGUGGGGCUUAAGGGGGUGUUUGGUUGAUUUUUAUGUUGGAUUGGUGAUGGUCGUUAUCCAAACGUGGCUUUGAAGCAACUAUGGAUAAACUCGGAAUUUGUCAGAUCUCCAACGUUUCUUACCAACAAAAUUGUCAUCUUAUCAUUUAUUUAACUUUAAAUGUUAAAGUAAUUGUUUUUUGCUCUUUCUUCUUUUUUAUUUGUUUAAAUUAUAAAAAGUUUUUUUAUAUAUACUUUUAGAAUUUUAAUCAUAUUUUUUAUUAUAUGUUUAGCCUUUACAAAAAAAAUUAGGAUGUUUUAAAUGAACUCAAAAUCAUUAUAUUUUUAGAUUCCUGUAACGUAAUCUUAAAAGACAUUAAAAGAAUGAGUUGUAACUAAUUAAUUUAAAAAAUUCAAAUCAUUUUAAAUGUUGAUAAAUUUUGAAUAUAGUGUUAUAUAUGUAUGAAUUUUUAAUUUAUUUGAUGUUUAAAACGUGCUGUUAUAUUUUGUUAAAAAAUGAAAAUUAUUUAAAUUGAACCGUUUCAAUAUAAUGCAGAACAAGAUAGAAUUUUUCUAUUUUUUUUUUAAAAGGAAACACAGAAUUGGUUUAUCUUUGAAUGUUCUUUGUGAAGAAAAAACAAAAAAAACUACAUGGCUGUGACUCACACGGAAUCUUUUGUCUCUUUAACACGUUACAUCAAGAGUCAACUUUCUUGCACGCAUAUUCACACAGUCAUUAAUACAAUAUGUUUUGUAUUAAUAAAUUUUAAGAAAAAAAUUAAAUAUUAAUAACGAAAAUCAAUUUAAUACAUAAUUAAAUAUUGAUGUUCGUCUUUCUUUUCUCCUUUGUACAUGGAUGCUCACUUGAAAAUAUCAUUAAAUAUCACUAAAAACCACGCAUUUUUUACACAUAACAAAGAUAACAAGGUAAAAUAACACAAUCUAAGUAAAUUUCAUUUAUGUUCUUUGCAACUCACCACGGAAGAAAAAAGUAAUUGUACCAUCCCGGGAGCAUACCCGGUGUUGGGUCGACCGACCGAUGCCAACUGGGCCAGCAUGAGACAUUAUUGAUCUAGGCCUGAUGCAUCGAAGCCGACUGUUUCUUCCUGCACCUUCUGGCACCUCCAUACACAAUAUGAAAAUACAUUUUUAUCCUUCUUGUGCUAUCUCCAUAGAAUAAUUUCCAGAUUAUGUAAUUCGGAAACGCAUUUGAAAAAAGACUUCUGGAUUACAUAAUCCGGAAGUUAAAAAAAACUUCUGGAUUAUAUAAUCCGGAAAGUAAUCAUGCAUCUGAAAAAAGAGUUUCGGAUUAUAUAAUUCUAAAGCUAAUUACAAAUUUAAAAAAUGACUUCCGGAUUAUGUAAUUCGGAAUGUUACAGAGGGAUAUUUUUGAAAAUACGAAAAUCUAUGGAGGUAAGAGAAGAAGAUAUGGAGGUGCAGGAAGAACCAGCCAUCGAAACCCCUAGCUAGAGAAUACGUGAUUUGGCAGUAUACAAUGUCAAUAAUUAUCUCAUGUUCUGAUUUACUUACACAAUAUUCUUAAUUACACAAUAUUCCUAAUUAUAUUAUAUUGCGUAAAUGUUCUGAUUUAGUUACACGAUAUUCUUGAUUUACUUACACGAUAUUCUUAAUUAUAUUGCGUGAAUGUUCUGAUUUUAUGACACGAUCCUACAAUAUGUCUCAUUAAAGCUUGAAAAAUCAAUAUCAAAGGGUCAAGCGCAUAAAGGCUUAUAAAAAGACAAUCAAUCACAGGAAUUUCCUCAACUCACAUUCUGACACUAAUUUCACUGAUGCACUUAAGAUUUUGGUGUUCUAACUAAAUUGAACAUCGGCAUGUCAUCACUGAAAGAACUCCUCACGUUUUUUUUGAAGGUUGACCGCUAAGACUUGGAAGGAAACCACCAGGAAUUCGUCUGGAUUCCGACACAUUUCAAGCCGGCAAAAACUGUAACAUAAGUCCCAUUUGGACAUUCUGUUGAAAUGAAUUGAUACAAACACAUGCAAUCUUUACAAAUUUGUUCUCGCUACAGUGGAAAGUUAGAAACAAAACAGGAUUAGUUGAAAGUACUGAAUUUAAAGUAAAUAUUCAAUUCUGUUCUUAUAAAAUUGAGACUAUGAUUAAUAGGUAUUUAUUAAAUUUGUAUAUAAAUAAAGUUUUUAAAUAUUACUUUGGCGUCAAGGUUUAUUUAUUAUUUAUAAAUUAAUAUGUUUUUACACAUAAAAUGUUGCCACAAGACCAACUAAACCUUUAUAAAUAUCCGUUUCAAUUCCACGGAUAAUCUAAUCUUCAACUGAAACUUCAUUGCAUGACGCUUCAUUUAUGGCUGUGCAGAGUAUGGCGAUCUUGGUGAGGAGCAACCACUGGUAUGCCACAAUUUUAACACUGGGCCAAAAGAAUUAUAGUGUAAUUCCCAAAAGAAAAUAUGAAUCUUCUUUGCGCCCUUCGUUAUUAAAAUCCCGCAUAUUGUGUGUACUGAGAGUAAGCUCCUGAGCGCAUGACAAUAGGGGCCGUGUAACAUGAUCCGGAAGAUCAAAUGCAUCCACAAGUUCCCUUGCAACAUUCCUCACUUGAAAACUAAGAUACUCCGCAAGUUUGUGGAUAGCCUGUGAAAUCAAAAAACUUCAAUAUCCAUUAAUAAGAUUACAGCGUAAAAAAAGGCAAGGUCCUUGCAUAUCCAUCCUCAGACAAACUGCACUACUGUUAUCUUCUCAAGGUUUAAAAGUGAUUGCCAAAGACCAAAACUUUUUAACAAAGCCAACACACGCUCAUUAUUGAUUUAAGUUUUGUUGAGAGAGAGGGAAAAUUUUAUUUCAAGGAGAAUUUUCUAUAUCUUAGCUUUGUUAGGAGCCACAUAGUCAACAUUUCGAUAGGUUCCAAUGUCAUUCCAUAUUGGAUCUAGAGCAUAAAGAUCACACACGAGCUUCAGAGCAGCUUGCGAACUUGGUUCGGAACAGCUGCCACAUAUAUAGGUCAAGUUAAAAUUAGAUAAUACACAAGUACAAGGAACAACGAAAGCACUUUUGCACGGGUUCAAUGAAUUUAGCAAGGAUGACUGAUUCAAUAUGUGACUUUGCAAGUGUCAAAAGGUGAUUUAAACAUCUAUUCCAUGCACCAAAGACCCCAAGGGUUUUAGAAUGCUUGCGAAGUCGUACAGCAACACUUUGAAGUAAUCUAGAUGUUCGAUACUGCAGAGUAAAAGUCAAUAUAAAUGUUGAUUUACUUGUGUCAGCAUGAACAAUGUUUAGUCAUUAGUCAAGGAAUGAAGAUAAUACUCACUCUGAAGGCAUCCAAUUGAAAUUUAGAAUCUCGUAAAUGAUCUUUGCCUUCCCACCGAGCAGUAACCGGAUUUGGCUGUGACAUAAAAGUAUUCAUGGAUUCUCUCAAGUAGUUCCAUGUCACAGCCAAAGUUCCUCCUGUGAACUUUCCCUUGUAUUGUUUCAAAAGAUCAGCUGCAACCUUUAUUUGUAAAGGAAAACUACAAACAUAUCAGUUAACGUGCUUCCAAUACAAGAACAGCAAAACCAAAUAAAAUGCAUAGUGCAUGGCCUUAGAGAUGUAAAGCUACAGUUGCCAUCAGACAAAGGUUAAGCUUUUCCAUAAUUCCUCGCGGUUUUAAGUAUGAACUUGUACCCUCCCCGGGAUCCCAUCCAUUGCUUGUACUCUCAUUGUGUUUCACACUUGAGACUAGAGAACUGUGUACCUUUCCCAGGAUUGGAUACUGACCCCAUCCAUCAAUUGUAGCCUUGUCAUGCUUGGCAGCACUUGAGGCU